This is a long non-coding RNA of Mobula hypostoma (lesser devil ray), 735 nucleotides long. RefSeq lists it as uncharacterized. NCBI's taxonomy places the organism in Eukaryota, Metazoa, Chordata, Chondrichthyes, Myliobatiformes, Myliobatidae. The record is from RefSeq and is a predicted model, not a curated record. The transcript has 6 exons.
UUGAAUGUAGGAGAUUAUCAGUGACAGGAGACUGGGUUGUUGGGUUUCCAUGUAUUCCUUCACCGCGGGCAGUCCCUCUGUGGUCAAAGAUCACUCUCGUUCUGUAGCGGCGGAUGAGGGUGAUACAGUUUUGUAGGUUGCCAGAUGCUUCGGGAGCUGGCAAAUUCCUGCACUCAGCGUCACCCUGGGCUUGAAUUCCCAUGCUGAGGACUUUGCAGAUAUUUUUCACUAACGCUCUGAGAUUCUCUUCGGAACGCGAUCCAGAGAAACCAUUAUUUCAUUCUCCUUGAAUCUUGGAAAAAACAAGCUUUGCUGAAAAAUAGGCAAUGGAUGACAACUCUGCAUUUACAGAAACUUUACUAAAAAUUGUACACAAACAAAGACUGGCAAACAACAAUGUGCAAAAGAAAACAAGUUAAGCAAAAUAAUACUGAGAACGUGGCUUGCAAAGAGUCCUUGAAAGUGAGUCUGUGGGUCGUCGAUUCACUUCAGUGAUGAGGCAUUCACAGUAAAUACAAGAAACACAAUAGUAUCAAUGAAAGACCGUAUCCAACAGGAUGGACAAACAAUGCGCAAAAGACAACAAACUGCAGACCACCACCACAUUUGAUCAACUGGCAAUGAAGAUGUGUAUCUGCUCCAAGUGCGCAGUCAAAGUUCUUUGAUGCACCUCCUGAGCAUUAAUGAUCAAAUCCAGUCACUGUGGUGCAGGAGAAGAAGAGCCCUGAUCUCAAC